UGCCAGACUCCUACGGGAGGCAGCAGUGGGGGAUAUUGCACAAUGGGGGAAACCCUGAUGCAGCGACGCCGCGUGUGGGAAGACGGUCCUCUGGAUUGUAAACCACUGUCCCCAGGGACGAAGAUGACGGUACUUGGGGAGGAAGCUCCGGCUAACUACGUGCCAGCAGCCGCGGUAAUACGUAGGGAGCGAGCGUUGUCCGGAUUUACUGGGUGUAAAGGGAGCGCAGGCGGCACGGCAAGCCUGAUGUGAAAGCCCGCGGCCCAACCGCGGGACUGCAUUGGGAACUACCGGGCUGGAGUGCCGGAGAGGUAGGCGGAAUUCCUAGUGUAGCGGUGAAAUGCGUAGAUAUUAGGAGGAACACCAGUGGCGAAGGCGGCCUACUGGACGGUGACUGACGCUGAGGCUCGAAAGCGUGGGGAGCAAACAGGAUUAGAUACCCGCGUAUC
This 449-nucleotide ribosomal RNA is filed under the name uncultured bacterium. RNAcentral's name for it is "bacterial SSU rRNA". It matches the Rfam family "Bacterial small subunit ribosomal RNA", at positions 329 to 794 of the family's 1533-position model. The record is from RNAcentral.